CCUCCUUACUAUUACGUCGAUGACGCACUUGAUGCAGUGCCUACACAGAUUGUUUUGUUUAUUUAUAAAGACUCGCUUCGCGAGUGUCGCGAAUAGCUGCUUAAACGGAAGAAAACUUCCUGACAGCCAUUCUGCUCGCUAAAGUGGUAGUUGUUUUUAAAUAGAAUGCUAAUCAAUAAUCUUAUUAUUGAUUAGUGUUUUUUUAUAAUGCACUAAUGUUCUUUAACAAUUUGGAAAGCUGAUAUUAAUAGUAAUCAAUCAAAAGAGUAAUUGAGAAGUCGAAAGACGCACUUUUUACUCUACUUGACUUGAAUUGCUUGUUAUCGACAACGCCGCAAGGCGGGUUAAUCGACUUGUUCGGUUAACAAANA
This 371-nucleotide unclassified non-coding RNA is filed under the name uncultured Alteromonadaceae bacterium. Its description in RNAcentral is "partial 16S-23S ribosomal RNA intergenic spacer". The record is from RNAcentral. Lineage: Bacteria; Pseudomonadati; Pseudomonadota; Gammaproteobacteria; Alteromonadales; Alteromonadaceae.